UAGCGGCGGACGGGUGAGUAACACGUGGGCAACCUACCUUGUAGAUUGGGAUAACUCCGGGAAACCGGGGCUAAUACCGAAUAAACCAUUUUGCUUCAUGGCAAGAUGUUGAAAGGCGGCUUCGGCUGUCACUACUAGAUGGGCCCGCGGCGUAUUAGCUAGUUGGUAGGGUAAUGGCCUACCAAGGCGACGAUACGUAGCCGACCUGAGAGGGUGAUCGGCCACACUGGGACUGAGACACGGCCCAGACUCCUACGGGAGGCAGCAGUAGGGAAUCUUCCACAAUGGACGAAAGUCUGAUGGAGCAACGCCGCGUGAGUGAAGAAGGUUUUCGGAUCGUAAAACUCUGUUGUAAGGGAAGAACACGUACGAGAGUAACUGCUCGUACCUUGACGGUACCUUAUUAGAAAGCCACGGCUAACUACGUGCCAGCAGCCGCGGUAAUACGUAGGUGGCAAGCGUUGUCCGGAAUUAUUGGGCGUAAAGCGCGCGCAGGCGGUUCUUUAAGUCUGAUGUGAAAGCCCACGGCUCAACCGUGGAGGGUC
RNAcentral lists this ribosomal RNA (545 nucleotides) under Paenisporosarcina sp. s10m1. Its description in RNAcentral is "bacterial SSU rRNA". It matches the Rfam family "Bacterial small subunit ribosomal RNA", at positions 93 to 624 of the family's 1533-position model. Lineage: Bacteria; Bacillati; Bacillota; Bacilli; Caryophanales; Caryophanaceae. The record is from RNAcentral.